UUAAAUUUCUAUUUAGAAACUUCAGUCACCAGUGAAGGGUGUCCACAGAAAUCAUAUCUAGGUCCUGGAAUCUUCCUCUUUCUUCAUUUACUUCUUGUCUCUUCCCAGGGUAGCCAGGACCUGUGGACUGAAGAGCAAAACAACUUUCAGGGGUACAUUCACCUUAACACGUGGCCCUGAAUAUUUGUCUCUUUAUUUGGUUCUCUCAAACCAAGGAAACACAAGACCCUCAAUGUAGGCCAAAUGCCUUUCUUCGGUGAAGUGUGGAAGUAACAUGAAGAUGAAAGGGGAGGUCACAAAGGAGAAUCCACAUAGCAUCAUGCCUAAGCAGUUCAAGAGCAUGGGUUGUUGUGGAAAGCCAGAGGAUUAGAAAACUCAUUGUGGAGGAGGUACUCGGACCUGAAACUUUUAGGAAAUGUUAACGUUCAUCAAGUCUGUUCCAGCCAAAGUUUGAGCUCAACACACACACACACACACACACACACACACACACACACACACACACACACACACAAAACCAGCCAGGGCUCUUGUGAAAAGACUUCGGCUUUCACUUGUCUCUAGACAAAAGACCACCACCCCGCCAGAUAAAAUAGGAAAACCUGGAAUAGACACACACGUACACUGGAUUCCCUUAAUGAUUCAUCAAUCACUAAGCCUCAGAUUAAUCCAGAAUGUGAAACAGAAGUCACAUUCGUUGACAAAAGCCACCCCAUCGAUUCUCAAUCACUGAGCCCCACUGGGGAGUGACCCGCGAGGACCACAAUCCCUGACCUCAGUACUCUUGGUCGUUGAUCUAUUCAGGCCUUUAAUCACUGACCACCAGAGCCUCCAUGAGGGACCCCAAAGAUAUCCUAUCACAGACACCCACCAGGGACUCCUACCAGCUCCCCUCCAAAAGGAAACACCCGCCCCCGCCUCCCCCAACCCCCGCGCUACCUCCACCAUAUAGCGCCACCAACAACGCAGACGCCCUCAGAAAGCUCCCUCCCACCACGUUUCCACGCCCUGACCCACACACUGACCUGACUCUCCUUGGAAUCGCCGCGACCUCUUAAAAGCUGAACUUACUUCCCUAAACUUCUUCCACUUCUGGGCCCCUCGCCCAACUCCCUCCCCCUCUAAACCUCCAGAGACGGUCAGCCGCGUUUCCAUGGAGAGCGGAAUGCGGCCUUCCGGCUUUUCCUCAGGAGGAGACGCGUCCGCGCCGGCGUCGCCUCGCCGCUCUGGGGGCGGCCAUCUUUGAGUACGUGACGUACAGAAGGCACAGCGGCCGGGAGACGCGGUGGACGGAGGCCUCUUAAACUGUCCGAUUUCCAGACACCUCAGCCCUGGCAGAAAAUGGAGAGCUUAUCAGAGGCUUGAGUUCACACAGGCAGACACGGCGUGGGGGUAAAGUCCUCUGAACAGACACGGAACAGAAAUAAGUUAGUCUUCUCCUCGCAGGGGACAGUGAACGGCGCAAACUUCUCAAAGGCCAGAACCCAUUAUUACCACAAAGGCGCGGCAUCCCUUCUUAGCGGUUAUGAUGGCUGUGACGUCUCAGCUCAAUGGAAAAUUAAAGUCACCUCUGGGCACCUCAGUCACUAUUGUAAAUGCGAAGCGUUUUAGAAGCCGUAUAAAAACUGAAGCAAGAGAGACUAGAACAAAAAAUAAGCGAGCGGUGCGUUGCAGGUAACGGAGCCAGAGCCCUUAGGGGAGAGCAUCAUGGGGGCGGCCAUCUUAGGGGACGUUCGGUGUCCGUACGGCAGAACAUAUUCUCUCUGAGAAGCUUGCGGUGGAACUGGCCCAUGGAAAUGUCUUUAGAAGAGAAGAACCACCUGGCUCUGUUCUUGACUCUGGAAAAGAAUCCUUUUCUAGAAUUAUUUAGGUUGUUGCCAGAUUAAUUUCCUUUAGAGAGUUUCCUUGCCCCCACGACUUCCUAUCUUUAAAGCCAACAAUAGUAUGUGAAAUCCCUUUCAUAUUUGAAACCACUGACUAUUGCUGCUGCAUCUCUCCGGUUUCUCCUAUUCUUAAGUGCUUGGGCAAUCCAGAAUAAUCUCCCAAUGCUAAAGUCAGCUGAUUAAUAAACUUAAUUACAAUGCAGAGUCCUUUUUGCCAUGUAACAUAACCAUGGGAAUUACUCUGGGGUUGUAGAUCUGGCUAUGAUAUGA
RNAcentral lists this long non-coding RNA (2153 nucleotides) under Homo sapiens (human). RNAcentral describes it as "non-protein coding lnc-ZNF613-7:1". The record is from RNAcentral. Lineage: Eukaryota; Metazoa; Chordata; Mammalia; Primates; Hominidae.